This 369-nucleotide ribosomal RNA is filed under the name uncultured bacterium. Its description in RNAcentral is "bacterial SSU rRNA". It matches the Rfam family "Bacterial small subunit ribosomal RNA", at positions 29 to 423 of the family's 1533-position model. The record is from RNAcentral.
AACGAACGCUGGCGGCAGGCCUAAUACAUGCAAGUCGAACGGGCGUAGCAAUACGUCAGUGGCGGACGGGUGAGUAACACGUGGGAACAUGCCUUUCGGUUCGGAAUAACGCAGGGAAACUUGCGCUAAUACCGGAUGACCCGGCGACGGAAAAGAUUUAUCGCCGAAAGAUUGGCCCGCGUAGGAUUAGCUAGUUGGUGAGGUAACGGCCCACCAAGGCGACGAUCCUUAGCUGGUUUGAGAGAACGAUCAGCCACACUGGGACUGAGACACGGCCCAGACUCCUACGGGAGGCAGCAGUAGGGAAUCUUGGACAAUGGGGGAAACCCUGAUCCAGCCAUGCCGCGUGAGUGAUGAAGGCCUUCGGUU